This 542-nucleotide ribosomal RNA is filed under the name uncultured eukaryote. RNAcentral describes it as "SSU rRNA". It matches the Rfam family "Eukaryotic small subunit ribosomal RNA", at positions 21 to 549 of the family's 1831-position model. The record is from RNAcentral.
UAGUCAUAUGCUUGUCUCAGAGAUUAAGCCAUGCAUGUCUAAGUAUAAGCAAUCUUAUACAGCGAAACUGCGAAUGGCUCAUUAAAUCAGUUAUAAUCUACUUGAUCGUAUCUUCUUACAUGGAUAACCGUAGUAAAUCUAGAGCUAAUACAUGCUAAAAAUCCUGGACGCGGCAACGCGGAAGGGACGAGUUUAUUAGAUUAAAAACCGACACCUCUCCGCGAGGGGAGGUAGCACAGGUGAUUCACAGUAACCGAUCGGAUCGUCGGCCCCGCCGACGACGAUGCAUACGAGUUUCUGCCCUAUCAACUUUAGAUGGUAGAGUAUCGGUCUACCAUGGUCGUAACGGGUGACGGGGGAUUAGGGUUCGAUUCCGGAGAGGGAGCCUGAGAAACGGCUACCACUUCCAAGGAAGGCAGCAGGCGCGCAAAUUACCCAAUCCCGACACGGGGAGGUAGUGACAAGAAAUACCAUUGUAAUGUCUCCUCGAGAGGCUUACGAUUGGAAUGAGUACAAUUUAAAUCCCUUAACGAGUAACGAUU